RNAcentral lists this ribosomal RNA (496 nucleotides) under uncultured bacterium. Its description in RNAcentral is "partial 16S ribosomal RNA". It matches the Rfam family "Bacterial small subunit ribosomal RNA", at positions 28 to 506 of the family's 1533-position model. The record is from RNAcentral.
GAUGAACGCUGGCGGCGUGCCUAGUACAUGCAAGUCGAGCGAACGGGCGAGAAGCUUGCUUCUCUGAUGUUAGCGGCGGACGGGUGAGUAACACGUGGAUAACCUACCUAUAAGACUGGGAUAACUUCGGGAAACCGGAGCUAAUACCGGAUGAUAUUUUGAACCGCAUGGUUCAAAAGUGAAAGACGGUCUUGCUGUCACUUAUAGAUGGAUCCGCGCUGCAUUAGCUAGUUGGUAAGGUAACGGCUUACCAAGGCAACGAUGCAUAGCCGACCUGAGAGGGUGAUCGGCCACACUGGAACUGAGACACGGUCCAGACUCCUACGGGAGGCAGCAGUAGGGAAUCUGCCGCAAUGGGCGAAAGCCUGACGGAGCAACGCCGCGUGAGUGAUGAAGGUCUUCGGACCGUAAAACUCUGUUAUGAGGGAAGAACAUAUGUGUAAGUAACUGUGCACAUCUUGACGGGACCUAAUCAGAAAGCCACGGCGAACUACGU